GAUGAACGCUGGCGGCGUGCCUAAUACAUGCAAGUCGAACGGAGUAGCAAUACUCAGUGGCGACCGGGUGAGUAACACGUAGCUGACCUGCCCCUCGGCGGGGGACAACAGGCCGAAAGGCUUGCUAAUACCGCAUGAUUUUAUGGUGAAUAGAUAGCCAUGAAUAAACUUCAGGGGUCGAGGGAGGGGGCUGCGGCCCAUCAGGUAGUUGGUGAGGUAAAAGCUCACCAAGCCGACGACGGGUAGGGGGCCUGAGAGGGUGAUCCCCCACACUGGA
RNAcentral lists this ribosomal RNA (277 nucleotides) under uncultured bacterium. RNAcentral describes it as "partial 16S ribosomal RNA". It matches the Rfam family "Bacterial small subunit ribosomal RNA", at positions 28 to 317 of the family's 1533-position model. The record is from RNAcentral.